GCCUACGGCCACACCACCCUGAAAACGCCCGAUCUCGUCUGAUCUCGGAAGCUAAGCAGGGUCGGGCUCGGUUAGUACUUGGAUGGGAGACCGCCUGGAAUCCCGGGUGCUGUAGGCU
Molecule: ribosomal RNA, 118 nt
Filed under: Melopsittacus undulatus (budgerigar)
Lineage: Eukaryota; Metazoa; Chordata; Aves; Psittaciformes; Psittaculidae
Source: RNAcentral